This 253-nucleotide ribosomal RNA is filed under the name uncultured bacterium. RNAcentral describes it as "partial 16S ribosomal RNA". It matches the Rfam family "Bacterial small subunit ribosomal RNA", at positions 524 to 776 of the family's 1533-position model. The record is from RNAcentral.
UACAUGGGGUGCAAACGUUGCUCGGAAUCAUUGGGCGUAAAGCGCGCGUAGGCGGUUACUUAAGUUGGAUGUGAAAGCCCUCGGCUUAACUGAGGAAGUGCAUCCAAAACUGAGUAGCUAGAGUACGAAAGAGGGUCGCGGAAUUCCCGGUGUAGAGGUGAAAUUCGUAGACAUCGGGAGGAACACCAGUGGCGAAGGCGGCGACCUGGACAGAUAUUGACGCUGAGGUGCGAAAGCGUGGGGAGCAAACAGG